RNAcentral lists this ribosomal RNA (620 nucleotides) under uncultured bacterium. Its description in RNAcentral is "bacterial SSU rRNA". It matches the Rfam family "Bacterial small subunit ribosomal RNA", at positions 202 to 842 of the family's 1533-position model. The record is from RNAcentral.
AAAAACUCCGGUGGUAUGAGAUGGGCCCGCGUCUGAUUAGCUAGUUGGUGAGGUAACGGCUCACCAAGGCAACGAUCAGUAGCCGACCUGAGAGGGUGACCGGCCACAUUGGGACUGAGACACGGCCCAAACUCCUACGGGAGGCAGCAGUGGGGAAUAUUGCACAAUGGGGGAAACCCUGAUGCAGCGACGCCGCGUGAGCGAUGAAGUAUUUCGGUAUGUAAAGCUCUAUCAGCAGGGAAGAAAAUGACGGUACCUGACUAAGAAGCCCCGGCUAACUACGUGCCAGCAGCCGCGGUAAUACGUAGGGGGCAAGCGUUAUCCGGAUUUACUGGGUGUAAAGGGAGCGUAGACGGCGAUGCAAGCCAGAUGUGAAAGCCCGGGGCUCAACCCCGGGACUGCAUUUGGAACUGUAUAGCUAGAGUGUCGGAGAGGCAGGCGGAAUUCCUAGUGUAGCGGUGAAAUGCGUAGAUAUUAGGAGGAACACCAGUGGCGAAGGCGGCCUGCUGGACGAUGACUGACGUUGAGGCUCGAAAGCGUGGGGAGCAAACAGGAUUAGAUACCCUGGUAGUCCACGCCGUAAACGAUGACUACUAGGUGUCGGGCAGCAAAGCUGUUCG